AGCGAACGCUGGCGGCAGGCUUAACACAUGCCAGUCGAGCGCCCCGCAAGGGGAGCGGCAGACGGGAGGGUAACACGUGGGGACAUACCUUUUGGUUCGGAACAACUGAGGGAAACUUCAGCUAAUACCGGAAAAGGCCUUACGUGGAAAGAUUUAUCGCCGAACGAUUGGUCCGCGUCUGAUUAGCUGGUUGGUUUGGUAACGGCUCAGCAAGGCGACGAUCAGUACCUGGUCUGAGAGGAUGAUCAGCCUCACUGGGACUGAGAUACGGCCCAGACUCCUACGGGAGGCAGCAGUGGGGAAUAGUGGACAAUGGGGGCAACCCUGAUCCAGCCAGGCCGCUUAAGUGAUGAAGGCCUUAGGGUUGUAAAGCGCUUUUGCCCGGGAAGAUAAUGACGGUACCGGGAGAAUAAGCCCCGGCUAACUUCGUG
This 431-nucleotide ribosomal RNA is filed under the name uncultured bacterium. Its description in RNAcentral is "partial 16S ribosomal RNA". It matches the Rfam family "Bacterial small subunit ribosomal RNA", at positions 29 to 507 of the family's 1533-position model. The record is from RNAcentral.